AAUGAACGCUGGCGGCGCGCCUAAUACAUGCAAGUCGAGCGAGAAGACGUAGCAAUACGUUUGUAAAGCGGCGAACGGGUGAGGAAUACAUGGGUAACCUACCCUCGAGUGGGGAAUAACUAGCCGAAAGGUUAGCUAAUACCGCGUACGCUCCUUGGACUUCGGUUCAGGGAGGAAAGCGAUACCGUGGGUAUCGCGCUCUUGGUUGGGCUCAUGUCCUAUCAGCUUGUUGGUGAGGAACGGCUCACCAAGGCUUCGACGGGUAGCUGGUCUGAGAGGACGAUCAGCCACACUGGCACUGCGACACGGGCCAGACUCCUACGGGAGCAGCAGUAAGGAAUAUUGCGCAAUGGGCGAAAGCCUGACGCAGCGACGCCGCGUGGGGGAGU
RNAcentral lists this ribosomal RNA (389 nucleotides) under uncultured bacterium. RNAcentral describes it as "bacterial SSU rRNA". It matches the Rfam family "Bacterial small subunit ribosomal RNA", at positions 29 to 410 of the family's 1533-position model. The record is from RNAcentral.